UGGGGAAUAUUGGACAAUGGGCGAAAGCCUGAUCCAGCCAUGCCGCGUGUGUGAAGAAGGUCUUCGGAUUGUAAAGCACUUUAAGUUGGGAGGAAGGGCAUUAACCUAAUACGUUAGUGUUUUGACGUUACCGACAGAAUAAGCACCGGCUAACUCUGUGCCAGCAGCCGCGGUAAUACAGAGGGUGCAAGCGUUAAUCGGAAUUACUGGGCGUAAAGCGCGCGUAGGUGGUUUGUUAAGUUGGAUGUGAAAGCCCCGGGCUCAACCAGGGAACUGCAUCCAAAACUGGCAAGCUAGAGUACGGUAGAGGGUGGUGGAAUUUCCUGUGUAGCGGUGAAAUGCGUAGAUAUAGGAAGGAACACCAGUGGCGAAGGCGACCACCUGGACUGAUACUGACACUGAGGUGCGAAAGCGUGGGGAGCAAACA
This 427-nucleotide ribosomal RNA is filed under the name uncultured bacterium. Its description in RNAcentral is "partial 16S ribosomal RNA". It matches the Rfam family "Bacterial small subunit ribosomal RNA", at positions 355 to 774 of the family's 1533-position model. The record is from RNAcentral.